GAGCCGGUUCGGAGACCGCCGUCGUGUCGGUUCAGCCGUUCCUCCUUCGGUUCGAGUUGUUGAGACUGUUGCGAAAGUGGCUUGGAACCGAGGUUUUGGCUGCCGGGAUUUUGAUUGUUGAUCUCGGGUUGAGGCGGAAAGGAUUCUGUGACGCGUUUGGAUUAUGAAUUUGCAUUUUGAGGUAGGUGCGCUUUCCGAACACUAUAUUUUGUAUAUUGGAAUUAUUACAUAUGGGUACUGAUGUGAGGAUGUGUAUUUGGUGAUUGUAUCAGUCCUAUGUAUUGUUUGGUUG
This is a non-coding RNA of Arachis ipaensis, 292 nucleotides long. The record is from RefSeq and is a predicted model, not a curated record. Lineage: Eukaryota; Viridiplantae; Streptophyta; Magnoliopsida; Fabales; Fabaceae.